AGUCAGAUGUGAAAGCCCAGGGCUCACCCUUGGAACUGCAUUUGAUACUGGCAAACUAGAGUAUGGUAGAGGGAAUGGGGAAUUUCUGGUGUAGCGGUGAAAUGCGUAGAGAUCAGAAGGAACACCAAUGGCGAAGGCAACAUUCUGGACCAAUACUGACACUGAGGGACGAAAGCGUGGGGAUCAAACAGGAUUAGAUACCCUGGUAGUCCACGCUGUAAACGAUGAGUACUAGCUGUUGGAUUCGGUGUAAAGGAUCUAGUGGCGUAGCUAACGCGUUAAGUACUCCGCCUGGGGACUACGGCCGCAAGGCUAAAACUCAAAGGAAUUGACGGGGACCCGCACAAGCGGUGGAGCAUGUGGUUUAAUUCGAUGCAACGCGAAGAACCUUACCUGGUCUUGACAUCCUGCGAACUUUCUAGAGAUAGAUUGGUGCCUUCGGGAACGCAGUGACAGGUGCUGCACGGCUGUCGUCAGCUCGUGUUGUGAAAUGUUGGGUUAAGUCCCGCAACGAGCGCAACCCCUAUCGAUAGUUACCAUCAUUAAGUUGGGUACUCUAUUGAGACUGCCGCUGACAAGGCGGAGGAAGGUGGGGACGACGUCAAGUCAUCAUGGCCCUUACGACCAGGGCUACACACGUGCUACAAUGGGUAUUACAGAGGGCAGCGAAGUAGCGAUAUGGAGCGAAACUCAGAAAGGUACUCUUAGUCCGGAUUGCAGUCUGCAACUCGACUGCAUGAAGUCGGAAUCGCUAGUAAUCGCAGGUCAGAAUACUGCGGUGAAUACGUUCCCGGGUCUUGUACACACCGCCCGUCACACCAUGGGAGUGGGC
RNAcentral lists this ribosomal RNA (832 nucleotides) under uncultured bacterium. RNAcentral describes it as "bacterial SSU rRNA". It matches the Rfam family "Bacterial small subunit ribosomal RNA", at positions 586 to 1415 of the family's 1533-position model. The record is from RNAcentral.